RNAcentral lists this non-coding RNA (186 nucleotides) under bacterium. RNAcentral's name for it is "6S RNA". It matches the Rfam family "6S / SsrS RNA". From Rfam's summary of the family: E. coli 6S RNA was the first non coding RNA to be sequenced, but its function was unknown until recently. It consists of 184 nucleotides that fold into an extended hairpin structure with a large single-stranded internal bulge. The 6S RNA specifically associates with RNA polymerase holoenzyme containing the sigma70 specificity factor. RNAcentral also lists the same sequence under 3 other names. The record is from RNAcentral.
GAGCCUCUGCGGUGUUCGUCACCUAGCUUGCUUUUGGCGAACCGAUAAGAGUACCCGAUGGAGUCCAAAAAGGUUUCUGGUGCAUGUAUGCCCACCCAAGUAGUGGGAUUCGUAAUCUAGAGCUGAGGAUUCCAACGUUAAAAUGCGGGUUCUCAAAAGAGCUGAAACGGCACAGGUGGGGGCAUU